This 3135-nucleotide long non-coding RNA is filed under the name Nicotiana tabacum (common tobacco). RNAcentral's name for it is "long non-coding RNA (NTAB_LNC003563)". Lineage: Eukaryota; Viridiplantae; Streptophyta; Magnoliopsida; Solanales; Solanaceae. The record is from RNAcentral.
GCCAUUUGAGAUUAGAUUUAGUAGCCAUUAUAAUUGUUGCAAACAAUUGCCAUUAAAGAUAAUAUUUUUUAGCGGCAAUAAACCAUACAAUUUACCAGCUUUUGCGAGAAAAGCCGCUAAAGGCUUUGCCGACCCCAGCAUCAGCGGAAAAAUACUAUUGGCUAGUAAAAGAUAUAGCGGCUAUUGUUAUUACCGCUAAAGCCAUUUUGUAUUGCCGCUAAAGGUCUUUUUUGUAGUAGUGUUUGCCAAGGUAGAAGGUUCUGCUGACUUUUAUUUUCGAAGGAGUCUUCUUUUUGGAAGUAUUGAUUUUCUUUGCUUUUGGAGUCACAACUUCCACCUCUUCUGCCUCCUCUUCAUCAUGAAGGACCAGGUCCAUCUCCUCAAUUUUAACUGCCUCAACAGGCUCAACCACCUUUUUUUUCCCUUUGCAGCAGAUUUUCUUUUACUUUCUUUGAAGGCCUUCUCAAGUUCAGCCUCACUCUGCUUCUUUUGACUCCUUGUAGAUCUUCUUCUUGUGGGAAGAGUCUCUAUAGGGAUAGAAGAGGCAUCCUUUCUCUUCUUGUUUGCCCUAGCAGUUCCAGGGAUUUUAACUCCUGAACUCUUCUUCCUUUUUGGAUUAUAGCUGUCAGACACGCAUUUCAGUAGGUCUUCGAGGGGUUCCCAUACUGAUGGAACAUGUUCUUGAACAUUCUUUCCCAGUCUAACCAACCCCUUAGCAGCUCCAGACCCACUUCCCACUUUUUCACUCAAACUUUCUUCUUCUCCAGCAGAUUCCUCACUACAUACUACCAUAGCUCCUAUUUCUUCAAUCGAACCAACAGGAGUGGGUGAAGAUUCUAUAACACCCCAAAAAAUUUUAAAGUAUUUUAAGACCAUUAAGAAGAUUGGCGGGUGAAGAUUUUCAAAUAUUCUCAAAGAUUCUGUAACACCCCGGAAGAUUCUGCGUCAGGUACGCGGCCAGAUGCGCGGCCACUUGCCCAGGUGUGUGGCCGCGGACGUAGGAACCCAAUAAAUAACCCCCAAGACUGGGUAGAGAGAGGGAUUAAGUCAUUUUUGAGGUAAAAACCUGAUAUUUUAGAGAGAUGUAAGAGCAUUUUAGAGAGAGAAGGAGUAAACCUAUCAUUCUAAUCAUCCAAUCUUGCACCAAUCUUCAAGAAUCAAGGAAACUAAUCACAAGAUCUUCAUCAAAGAGAUAAGGUUCCAUACCCUAAUUUUAAAUUUCGGGAUUUGGAUUAAAAGUAGGCCAUAAGAAGUAUAAUUCUUGGGUGUGAGAGUAUUAUGUGUACAUUUAUGGAUUUAUUAUGGAAAUAUGAGUAUGAAUUAAGCAAGUAUUGGAACUUAUGGUAUAGUGAUUGGAAGCCAUAAAUUCUCAAUUUAAAUACAUAACCAUUGUAGAGAUUGAAAGGUGAUUAUUUGAUAGAAUUUUAUUGGUUGGGUGAGAAUAGUUGGUCACACAUAUGAUGUUAGGAUUAUAAGUUGUUAAAGAAUAAUGGUGGGAUGAAUUGUUGGUAAAUGAUGGUAAAUGGAAGAACUAAUUCUAUGGUUAAGAAAUGUAUAAAUGUAUGCCCACUAGGUGAUUGGUAAAUUAACUAAAUGGCCUAAACUAUAAAAUUGGUUACUAAUGUUGGUCCCAUUGGAUGUUAAUAUUGUAGAUUGCACUUGUUUAGUAUAGUAGAUCGUUGUAGUAUCAUUAAGGGGUGAAUUUCAGUUUCGGAUCGUUGGCAUUGAAUUGAGGAGACAAGAAGGCAUUCGGAGGUGGAUACACGUGGAAUGGAAUUUCCUGAGUAUUGAUUAGCUGGCUCAACGUUGGGUUCGUCUUGUUGAGGUAAGUAACAGUUUUAAAUCUGGUCCUGAGGGUAUAAAAUCCCAGAUUAUUGUAUUAUGUGAGUAUUUAGGAGGUAACGCACAUGCUAGGUGAUGGGCGUGUGGGCAUGGGAAUUGGGACUUGGUCUAUUCCGUGAAACUGGAAAGUUGAAUAAGCUUGUCGUUAGCUAUGUGCCCUUUCUGUGCUAUAAAAAUUUGGCAGUGAAGCAUGCUUAGGCUAUGUGAUGGUGCUGUAAAGACCACAGAGGUCUUGUACAUGUUGAAUUAUCUACUAAAUUAUUAGUUUGUACUCAGUCAGAGUUUACUUGUUUAUUGUAUCUCAGUCUCUAUUAUUCAUUAUUGAUGCAUCAUAUUAUUGUUAUUUGGGCUGAGUAUCAUGACUAUUGAGAACCCGAGAGACUGGAGAGAUUUAUGACUGAGUGAGACCGAGGGACUAAUUGUGAGAUAUUAUAUUAUAGCACGUGAGUUGUCCGUGCAACACGUGAGUUGUCAGUGCGGAUCCUUAUAUUAUUCUAUAGCACGUUAGUUGUCCGUGCAAUACGUGAGUUGUCCAUGCGGAUCCUUAUUUUAUACUAUAGCACGUGAGUUGUCCGUGCGGAUCCAGAUAUUUACACUAUAGCACGUGAGUUGUCUGUGCAACACGUGAGUUGUCCGUGCAAAUUAUAGCGCUUGGGUUGUAGGAGCCCCUCCGGAGUCUGUACACCCCCAGUGAGCGCGGGUACCCAUUGAGUGUGAGUGCUGAGGGCUGAGAGCCGAGUGGUUGAGCUAUUGUGACGAGUUGAGUAACUGUUGCCCUGAGAGGCUGUACUUUCUUUUCAUUUGUUGUUGUACUUAGUUGCUAUCUGUCAUUGUUGUGAAAUUCUCUAAAAGAUUUUAUAUCCGAAUUACGUGAGCUUGAGCUGUAUAAAACUGAUUUGACUUAAACUGCUAGAAUUGAAAGUAUGUCUACACUCUGCUGGAAUUACUGAAAAUGAAUUGUAACUGUGUAGCUCGUCACUAUCUUCAGUUCCUUAUUUAUUAUUGUUACUUACUGAGUUGGUUGUACUCAUACUACACCAUGCACAUCGUGUGCAGAUCUAGGUAUUCCCAGACAUAGCGGGUGUUGAUUCUUUCACACAGUUGAUUUUCCGGAGAUUCAGAGGUAGCUGUCGCGUUUCGCAGACCUUGUCUCUCCUUCCCUAUCUCCUUGUUUACUGUAUUGGUCUCAGACUAUUAUAGAUCGUAUUUUCCAGACUUGUAUUCAUAUUAGAUGCUCAUGUACUCAGUGACAACAGAUUUUGGGAGUGUUUAUAUUUGUACUUGUGAGAUUUC